ACAGUACUCCCUCUGUCGAAAAAACUUGUCUCAGGCUUGUCUCUCAAAUGGAUGUAUCUAGCACUAACUUUGUGCUAGAUAUACAUCCAUUUGAGGGACAAGUUUUUCCAGACAGAGGGAGUACAAU
Non-coding RNA from Triticum urartu, 127 nucleotides. The record is from Rfam. Lineage: Eukaryota; Viridiplantae; Streptophyta; Magnoliopsida; Poales; Poaceae.